UGAACGCUGGCGGCGUGCUAACACAUGCAAGUCGAACGCGAACGGGGCUUCGGCCCCAAGUAGAGUGGCGCACGGGUGAGUAACGCGUGGACAAUCUGCCCUUAUGACUGGAAUAACAGUUGGAAACGGCUGCUAAUACCGGAUACGCUCAGGAAGAACUUUUUGAGGAAAGGCGGCCUCUGCUUGCAAGCUGUCGCAUAAGGAUGAGUCCGCGUCCCAUUAGCUAGUUGGCGGGGUAACGGCCCACCAAGGCAACGAUGGGUAGCCGAUUUGAGAGGAUGAUCGGCCACACUGGGACUGAAACACGGCCCAGACUCCUACGGGAGGCAGCAGUGGGGAAUAUUGCGCAAUGGGCGAAAGCCUGACGCAGCGACGCCGCGUGAGGGAUGAAGGUUUUCGGAAUCGUAAACCUCUGUCAGAAGGGAAGAAACUGCCGUGCUCUAAUCAUCAUGGCAUUGACGGUACCUUCAAAGGAAGCACCGGCUAACUCCGUGCCAGCAGCUGC
This 505-nucleotide ribosomal RNA is filed under the name uncultured bacterium. RNAcentral's name for it is "bacterial SSU rRNA". It matches the Rfam family "Bacterial small subunit ribosomal RNA", at positions 30 to 518 of the family's 1533-position model. The record is from RNAcentral.